UGUGUGAUGCUGAAAAUGUAAAAAGUCAUUUUGAACUGAAGAUGGGGGCAUGUGUUUCAGAUGAUUUUUCCUUGAAACAAGUGAUACAAAAAAUUAUUAAAUCUGCAACUGGGGAAAGAUGUGCGGAUUUGAAUGAGGGUGAGCUUAAUAAAAAACUUGAAGAUAUUAUGAAGGGUAAGAAAUACCUGCUUCUUUUGGAUGAUGUAUGGAAUGAAGAUGCUCAAAAAUGGUUGUUGUUGAAGCCUUUGUUAUCAAAAGGUGCUGAUGGAAGUAAGAUUAUAGUGACUACCCGUAGUCAACGUGUUGCUGAGAUUAUGGGUACUGUUGCUGCGUACAACCUAAGUCUUCUCGGUCAAGAGGACUGUCUGUCGUUGUUUUACAAGUGUGCAUUCAAGGAAGGGAAAAUGGAGUUGAAUCCAAAUUUGGUUGGAAUUCGGAAAGAAAUAGUGGAGAAAUGCAAGCAAGUUUCUCUGGCAGUGAUUAAUUAACUUGGGGACUCAACUGUAUGGUAGGACUGAUGAAAAAGAGUGGGAAUCGGUGAGAGAUAGUGAGAAGUGGGAAGAAGAGGGAGAUGGCAUUUUACCUGCCUUGAAAAUAAGUUAUCAAAGACUGCCGACACACCUGAAAAGAUGCUUUCUUUAUUGCUCCGUUUUCCCAAAAGAUUACCCAUUCUUUGAUAUCUCAUUGGUGCAUUUUUGGAUGGCACAGGGCUCAUUCUCCCAUCAUCAAAUCCAAAUGAGAAAUUGGAAGAUGUUGGCUUGCGUUAUGUGCGCCAGUUGAUCUCAAGAUGUUUCUUCCAAGAUUAUGAGGAUAUGAUUGUUGGAGCUAACUUUAAGAUGCAUGAUUUAAUGCAUGAUCUUGCAUCAUCAUUGGCUCAAAAUGAGUUUUCAAUCAUAAGCUCUUAAAACCAUUAAAUUUCCAAAACGACCCGUCAUUUGUCAGUUCUUGUCUCUGAUUUAUUUUUUCAUAAAACUCUUCCCAACUUCCAUCAAGUGCGGUCAAUAAUUUAAAUUUAUUUGAACUUAAAACAUCAUUAUUAAAUUUUAUAUUUGUCUAAUUUUAUCUUUAGGUUUAAUGUGAGGAUCCUUCGGCUAAGAUCUUUUACAACAGUUUAUCACUUACGAAAAUCAGCUUAAUGCUCGGAGUGUCUGCUGUGUGUGAUGAUUUGUCAUUGAUAAAUUGAUAAACAUUUGGUUUUUUUAAAUUAUUGGCUUGCCUCUUUAUCUUAUUUAAAAUAUUGUGUGUGAUGAUUUAAAUAAUUAUGCUUAACAAAUAAAAUAUUGCGUGUCAUAUAAUUCUACUUGUUUUGUCCAUGGCCCAAACACUACUAGGCUCAUGUCUUAUUUAAAGUUUAUAAUUUUUUUUAUUUUUUUGGGUUGCGGUAUAACUUAUUUUUUAUUAAAUUUUAAUUUUUUUAAAAUUUUAAUAUAUUUAUGCAAAAAUAUCUAACACACUCCAAAACCAUUCCUUAAUCCCAUUUUUACAAACACUACUGGGCUAAUGACUUAUUAAAAGUUUAUAAUUUUUUAGAUUUUUUUCUUUUUCUGUUAAACCCAUUUUUCAUCCAUUUUAAAAAUUUCUCCAGUACACACCUUCCUUCGCUAUUCUUGCGCAAUCUCCACCGUCGGUAAAAACCUCCCCUCUCUCUUUCUCUAAGCUAAUUACUUAACCAUGUUUUAAUCAUUUUCACUUUUGCUGACAGAUUGCAUGAACCGUCGCGGAUUAAAAAUUCUCUCUCAGAACCCAUCAGUAAACUCUGAUUCUAACUAUCAGAAAUCACUCGAAGUAAAUGAAGUUACUUUUAUUAUUAUUAUUUUUAAUUUAUGUGUUAAUUUGUGAUUUAGUGAAUAAGUUAAAGUUUUGAUUUUGAGUGAAUUUAAUUAAUUAAAUCGGCAAAGAGGGUAUUGAAAUCAUGUAGAAAAUGAAGGAUUUUAUGUGAAAGCUAGGCAAUUUUUUUUUAUUUGCUUGUGCACGUUUGUGUAUUUUCAAUUUUGAAGAAUUUAUGUCUGUUUCGUAGGCUAAUUUUUUGGAUUAGGUAUAAUGUAGGCAGUUCCUAGUAGUUUCAACGAUGUAAAAUAAGUUCUUGAAAUUAAGCAAUUUGGGUUGAUGUUUAACGGAGAUUUGUGUUUCGGUUCUGUAUUUUCUUUGUUUUUCUUUUCUUAGAUGUUGAAGGUGAAAAUGUUUUGUUGAAUUAUGGAAUUUUUUUUUAUGUAAAUGACAGCUGCUUCGUCAAUUGCCCAGCUGAUGUUUAACGGGCAUCUUGCAAUGUUGAGAGAUUGUCAAGCAGUAGCAGUCAAGGUUGGUUGGUGCGGUGUCAGUCUAAGUUAGUCAACUUAUUAUUAUGGGCUGGGUUUUGUUAUAGCAACAAGAUGAUAUUUGUGAAUAAAUUAGGAAGUUUAAGAGUGUUUUGAACUGUUGAUGAUGCAAUGCAUUUAGGCUAUCGAUCCUUUCAUAACUUGUUUCAAAUUUUAUGUAUCUAUGUUGUUGAAUCUUUGCUUACCUUCCAAUAUUAUAGCUGCAUGUGACUGAAUGCCGGGAUUCUUCCUCUAUCUUUCCUGUAUCUGUUUUUAUUUCGCUUCGGAAAAGUAAACUUUUUGCCAUACAGUUUUAUAUUAGAUAUGAUAUUUCAGUGAUUUGAUUCUUUCAAUAAAGUCGACGAUUGCAUUAGGAGAAUCUCUGUGAUAUUCUCUGAUGAAUGUGAAACAUCCCCUUUCCAUACCUUCUUUAUAUAUGUUAGAAAAUUUUCUAGUUUUUAGAAACUUCAUGGAUGCUUGUGCUAGAUGACUUGAUAUAUUUCUGUUUCUUAUAUUUCUAUGUACAUAUUAUUAAAAUAAUUCUCAAAUUAAUCUCCCAUUGAAGUUAACCUAACUCUAAUUACAUCUUCAUUCUUCGGACAAUUAACGGAACUUAUCCUUGCAAACCAAGAGAGAAGGGAGGACUCAAGUUUGAUGGAUUCAUAAUGCCAAAGUAAACUUAGAACUCAACAUUUUGUCAUAAAAAUAGGGUUUUAGAUCUCUGUUAUAUUUAUCUACUCUACCUGAGGCAAGCAACACUCUUGCAAAUCGCUCUCCUCCUUGAACCUAUUGAACUCAGUUCUUUGAAAGCUUAUGCAGACAAUUGCUUCCUCCAGUAACCUUUUCUCAUUUUUUUCUGAUUUGUCAUUCUUAAAUCAAAUGUUCUUCUUGAAAUUUUCAGUCAUUGAGUUAGCCUUGUCUAUAAUGCAAAACUAAACAUGCAUGCUGUUUUUGCUACUGAGAGUUUAAAAACAUAAUUAAAUCUGUAUCUAAUCAGGUUGUGAUUGAAUGCCAACUGAAGUUUGAUUUUGUCCAUGAUUUUAUUCCUCUCCCCGACACAAUUAAAAUGAUAGGGUUAGGGUUAGGGUGCAGCUAUGCACAAAGCAUCAAUCCUCGUUUCGUUUCAACUUUCCAUUAUAUUUUCUAAUUUGCUCAAAAUCAAUCAUACUCCUCAAAUGGUUCCUCCCAUCUGCACAUUUCAUUUCUAUGACCAUAUAUGAUACAUUCAUUCCCUCAAUCUUUUCUUCGUGUUUUCACAAUAACCAAAAAUUAAUUAACAAUACAUCAUCACUAUAUGAUCUUCAGAAGGACAUGAUCAUCUCAGAUUCUGAGAGAGAGAUCACUUGCUUUUCUACAAAGGUUGUUUAUGCUAUUGUGCUUACUGCUUAGGAAGUUCCAAGUAAGGGAUAGAUUCUCAGGAAGAUUGUUUCCAAAGUAAGAGACAAAUGAAAGAAUAAGGGAAUGUCAUGAACAAAAAUUGCAGGCGUUUGUUUCGCCUUUACAUGCAUACUCAUAGCUAGAAAUCAAGAGGUUAAUUUGCCAUUCUGCAAACAUAACUUCACUUGCAUCUUAAUCAUUUUUCCUAUCAACCAAUUCUCCUCUCUCCACUCAAAAAGAAAAUGUCAGGAGCUUUAGCAUCCAGCAUUGCACAAUCCCUUCUAGGGAAGCUAGGCUCAUUUGCUGGUCAAGAAUUUUGUUUGGCAUGGGGACUUGAAGCUGACAUUGCUCGUCUUGAAAAGAGAUUGUCAGCCAUCACCGCAGUGCUGUCCGAUGCUGAGCAGAAACAAUCAAAGAAUGACAAGAUUCGGUUCUGGCUCAACGAUCUCAGAGAAGUCUUGUAUGAUGCCGAGGACGUGCUGGAUGAAAUCGAGUGCGAAACUUUGCGAAGGCAGGUGGUGAAAACAACAGGGAGCACCAGCAGAAAGGUACGGCGCUUCUUUUCAAGCUCUAAUAAGAUUGCAUUCCGUUUAAGAAUGGGUCAUAAGAUAAAGAGCAUCACAGAAAGACUAGCUACGAUUUCAGCUCUUAAGUCUGAGUUCAACCUCAGCGAGCAGCCUAUUGAUUGUGGUCAUGUUUUGCAAGAGGAAACAGAGAUGAACCGAUCCUUUGAGAGCUUUUCCGGUCUUAUCGGAAGAGAUGAAGACAAAGAAUGCCUCAUUAACCUUUUAGCAGAACCUUUUAAGGUAGGUGAUGCACAUCCUUAUGUCCUUCCGAUAGUAGGAAUGGGAGGCUUGGGGAAGACAUCUCUUGCCAAAUCGGUGUAUGAUGCUGAAAAUGUAAAAAGUCAUUUUGAUCUGAAGAUGGAGGUGUGUGUUUCAGAUGAUUUUUCCUUGAAACAAGUGAUACAAAAGAUUAUUAAAUCUGCAACUGGGGAAGGAUGUGUGGAUUCGGAUGAGCGUGAACUUAAAAAAAAACUUGGAGCGAUUCUGAAUGGUAGGAAAUACUUGCUUCUUUUGGAUGAUGUUUGGAAUGAAGAUGCUCAAAAAUGGAUGUUGUUGAAGCCUUUGUUAUCGAAAGGUGCUGCUGGAAGCAAGAUUAUAGUAACUACCCGUAGUCAACGUGUUGCUGAGAUUAUGGGUACUGUUACUGCAUACAACCCAAGUCUUCUAGGUCAAGAGGACUGUCUGUCGUUGUUUUGCAAGUGUGCAUUCAAGGAAGGGGAAAAGGAGUUGUAUCCAAAUUUGGUUGGAAUUGGGAAAGAAAUAUUGGCAAAAUGCAAGCAAGUUCCUUUGGCAGUGAUUAACUUGGGGACUCAACUGUAUGGUAAAACUGAUGAAACAGAGUGGAAAUCGGUGAGAGAUAGUGGGAAGUGGGAAGAAGAGGGAGAUGGCAUUUUACCUGCCUUGAAAAUAAGCUAUCAAAGACUGCCGACUCCCUUGAAAAGAUGCUUUCUUUAUUGUUCGGUUUUUCCAAAAGAUCACCCGUUCCUAGAUAUCUUAUUGGUGCAAUUUUGGAUGGCACAUGGGCUCAUUCUUCAAUCAUCAAAUCCAAAUGAGAACUUGGAAGAUGUUGGCUUGCGUUAUGUGCGCGAGUUGAUCUCAAGAUGUUUCUUCCAAGAUUAUGAGGAUAAGAUGUUUGGAGCUACCUUUAAGAUGCAUGAUUUAAUGCAUGAUCUUGCAUCAUCAUUGGCUCAAAAUGAGUUUUCAAUCAUAAGCUCUCAAAACCACCAAAUUUCCAAAACGACCCGUCAUUUAUCAGUUCUUGACUCUGAUUCAUUUUUUCAUAAAACUCUCCCCAAGUUUCCAAACAACUUCCAUCAAGUGCGGUCACUAGUCUUUGCAGAUAGUAUAGUGGGGCCUACAUGCAAAACAGACUUUGAGAAAUGUUUGUUAGAAUUUAAGCAUUUGCGGUCUUUGGAAUUAAUGGAUGAUUUUGAAUUUGAGACUUUUCCGGAGAGGAUUGGCGCCUUGAAACAUUUGAGAUAUCUCGGUUUUGGCUGGAACACAGAAAUGGAAAGACUCCCAAAAUCUCUUUUCAAAUUACAAAAUUUGCAAGCUCUGGUUACACCAGGUGAAGGAUUAGAAGAGCUGCCCAAAGAUGUAAGGUACUUGAUCAGCCUUAGGUUUUUACUUCUAGUUACUAAGCAGAAGCGGUUGCCAGAAGGUGGGAUUGGGUGCUUGAAAUUUCUUCGAACUUUACUCAUUGUUCGGUGUGAAAAUCUUGAAAAUUUGUGCGAAGAUAUGCAAGGUCUUAGAAGUCUUCGGAAAUUGGUUAUUUAUGAAUGUAAUAGCUUGAUUUCUCUGCCACUAAGCAUAAAAUGCCUAACUACUCUAGAAGAAUUUUGUAUUAAUGGCUGUGAAAAGCUUGAUUUGAUGACAAUAGAAGAAAAGGAGGAAAAAGUUCAACCUCUUUCUCUUUCUCUUCGUAUUGUAAUAUUUGAAGAGUUACCAACAACUUUUGCUUUACCAGAACAACUUCUUCAAGGAUCUGCAGAAUCCUUACAAACAUUCAUCAUCAUAGAGUGUUCAAACAUUAGAGAAAUGCCAGAUUGCAUCGGCAAUUUAAAGAAACUUCAAAAUCUUGAGAUCAGUGAUUGUCCAAGUUUGAGCAAAAGGUGCCGAAGGGGAACAGGAGAAGAUUGGCCCAAGAUCAAACAUAUCCCUAAAAUCGAGGUUGACAGUGAUGACAGUGAUGAGGAGAAUACAGGUAGCAGCAGCAAACCAUAUUUAAAUCUAUCAUAUUUAGUUUUACAUUUUUAUCCAUUCUUCAAAUAUUCCUUUUUUCGUUUAAAUUAUUUUCCCUGAAAACAAUAUUAGCUUUGAAAAAAAAAAACUGACAAAACCUCUUGUGUUUUGGAGAGGCAGGUUCAAGUGGAACUCCAUCAGCAAGAGAAGAAGACAAGGUAUGUCAUGAUAAAAUGCAAAAAGUUGACUAAUUCAUUCAGCAAUUUAAAUUUCUUUGAACUUAAUACAUCAUUUUUAAAUUCUAUGUUUGUCUAAUUUUUUUCAGCUUUCAUUGGGGUUUCUGCUGACGGUUAUAAUACGGGGACUUCAAUUUUUUCGGUGUUGUUGCUGACAAUCUAGUUUGUUCAAAUAAAGAUGAAGAGUGUUUAAUUUGCUGGAGAUUAAUAUUCGUUCUCUGUGUGCUUUGCUCGUAGUUCCUGCUGGUGAUGUACUUGGCUUUUCAUUUGUUCAUAAUGGUUGCCAAUCAGUUCAUUUGCUGGUCAUGGAAUUUGCUCCCUCGUUGUUGAACUUAAUACAUCGUUGCUGGUGAUGUGAGGGUCCUGUCGGCCAAGAUCUUCUAUGACAGUUAGUCUCUUGGUUAUUGGAGGAUGUGAUAGCUUGAUUUCUUUGCCACGAAGCAUAAAAUACCUAACUACUUUGGAAGAAUUUUAUAUUAUUGAUUGUGAAAAGCUUGAUUUGAUGAUAAUAAAAGAAAAAAAUCAACCUCCUUCCCUUCCUCUUCGUAUUGUAAUAUUUAGAAACUUACUAGCCACUCUUGCCAUACCAGAACAGCUUCUUCGAGGAUCUACAGAAUCCUUACAAACAUUUAUCAUUACGGACUGUCCAAACAUUGAAAAAAUGCCAGAGUGCAUCGGCAAUUUAAAGAAACUUCAAAAACUUGAGAUCACUCGUUGUCCAAGGUUGAGCAAAAGGUGCCAAGAGGGAAAAGGAGAAGAUUGGCAUAAGAUCAAACAUAUCUCUAAAAUCGUGUUAAAGGAAAGAUGAUUAUACGAUGUAAUUGAGAGUGAUCAUAGCUUCUAUAAUUGUCAAUCCUUUUAUUCUGUGUAAUUAUAGUAUGUAACCGUUAUUAGCUUAGCUGUAGGAUCUGCUGUUAAUAUCAGCUUGUUUAUAGGAAUUGCUUUCCUAUAAUAGCAUGUAGGUUCUGUAUAAAUCCUCACCUUGUAUACUGUUACAACACAUCAAUGAAAUAUACAUAUUCUCAAUUUAUUAUGGUAUCAGAGCACCGAUCUUGGUGACUCCUCCACCCUUCCGCAACCAUAUACACCAUAGAUAUUUCACAAACACCAUGACAGAACAGAGCAAUAACACCAAACCAGAUGGGAAUCCCGUGGAAAUCACAGACCCAUAUGCCAUACACAGUUCAGAUCAUACUGGACUCAUCCUGGCAACCAAACCACUUGAUGGAGAUAACUAUGGGCAAUGGAGCCGUGCCAUGUACAUGGGUCUCAGCGCAAGAAACAAGAUUGGAUUCAUUGAUGGGACCAUUAAAGCACCACCAAUACAGGAUCCGAAAUAUGCAGGCUGGAAAAGAUGCAACGAUAUGGUGACACUGUGGAUCAUAAACUCAGUUCACUCAGACAUUGCGAGCAGCAUUAUGUACACUGAAUCUGCUGAUGCAGUUUGGAACGACCUCAAGGAGAGAUUCUCACAAAGCAGCGACUCAAGGAUCUACCAGAUUCGACAAGAGAUUGUUGAAAAUCGUCAAGGGCAGCUCUCGGUGUCUUCUUAUUAUACCAAGAUGAAAGCCUUGUGGGACGAAUUAGCAUCAUACCAUGACCCACUCAUCUGCACUUGCGCAGGUUUAAAGGGACUGGCUGAAAGAGAUGAAAAGGAAAGAGUCAUGCAGUUCUUGAUGGGAUUAAAUGAAUCCUACUCAGCAAUACGAGGCUCGAUUCUGAUGAUGAGCCCACUCCCUGAUACACGGCGAGUCCAUGGUCUCAUUCUUCAACAUGAGAGGCAGAUGGACGUUGCCAACCGUCGAGACAUGGGAACGACACCACAUGCAAUGCAGGUACAACGAAAUCCAAUGCCACCAUCAUUCAACAGGAAGCCCUUCUACACACCAUCACGAAAACCACUUAAAUGUACCCACUGUGACGGAGAGGGACACUUAGUGGACCGAUGCUACUAUAUUAUUGGGUUCCCAGAAGGGCACAAAUGGCAUGGCAAACACGUGAAACCCAAGAAUAAGAGAUUCACAAUCAACAAUGUCAAGGCUAGCAGUUCUGCUGCAACCGAGAAACCUCACAUUUCUGAAGGUCCCAUGUUCACUACAGAGGAGUAUAAUCAAAUCAUUGCUAUGCUACGUAAUGGUAAUACACAAUCAAUUGAAAAUGCAACAGGUAUUUUUUCGCCCACAUGCAAUAUAGCACAAACAAGCCCGCAUUCAACUCUAUACUGGAUAGUUGACAGCGGAGCAACCGACCACAUAUCACACUCUCCACCAACACAUAACAUCCUUGAUGUUCAGUGUGACUCUGUUGGUUUGCCCGAUGGGGGGCAAGCAAAAAUAAAGAAUAUUGGCUCUAUAAAAUUAUCACAUGAACUAUCCCUUGAUAAAGUUCUUUAUGUACCAAAGUUUCGUGUCAAUUUAUUAUCCGUUAGCAAAUUGACAAGAGCUUUGCGAUGUAUAGUGAUAUUUUAUCCGAAUUUUUGUAUUGUGCAGGACAUGGAUACGAGGAGGACGAUUGGCCUGGGCAAGCAUUUUGAUGGGCUCUACUAUCUCACCCCAAAACAUAAUCCUCACCUCGCUAAUCAUAUCCACCGUACCUCUAGUCUUUGGCAUCAGCGUCUUGGACACCCAUCAGCCGCACCUUUACUUUCAUUAGCCAAACAUAAUGUUGAAAUAAUGUUUGAUUCAAAACACGUUUGUGAAGUUUGCCCUUUGGCAAAACAAACUCGUUUACCCUUUUCUCAUAGUGAAAUCAAAUCUUCUGCACCAUUCGAUUUAAUUCAUUGUGAUAUAUGGGGCCCCCAUAGAAAUCCAACACACACUGGGGCACGAUAUUUUCUCACUAUUGUAGAUGAUUUCACUCGUUUUACUUGGGUACAUCUUAUGAGUUUCAAAUCUGACACACAAACAAUUUUAAAAUCUUUUUUUUCUUGGGUCAAAACACAAUUUCAACAUGACAUUAAAACUCUUCGUGCGGACAAUGGUGGUGAAUUCCUCUCCAUUCGUCCUUUCCUAGACUCAUGUGGUACCCUUUUCCAACACUCUUGUCCAUACACUCCACAACAGAACGGGGUAGUUGAACGUAAACAUAGACACCUUUUGAAUGUUAGCCGUGCCCUUAAGUUCCAAGCCAAUUUACCCUUGAAAUUUUGGGGAGAAAGCCUCCAAACAGCCUGCUAUCUUAUCAACCGCCUACCUUCACCCCUCCUAUCUCAUAAAUCCCCAUAUGAACUCUUGCACAACACACCUCCCACCUACACACACUUGCGUGUUUUCGGAUGUCUUAGCUAUGCCACCAACCUCACACCUACCAAUAAGUUUGACGAACGUGCUCAUCGAUGUAUCUUUCUUGGUUAUCCUCUUGGUCAGAAAGGCUACAAAGUCUAUGAUCUAGCCUCACACAAAUUUUUUACAUCACGAGAUGUCAUCUUCCAUGAGCACAUCUUCCCUUAUGCCUCUUUAGCACCCGUGAACCACACUGACAUGGCCAUUACUCCCAACUCCAAUGACCACAUCAAUACCCAUGAAAUACUCCCUGCUCCACCCCCACAAGACAUCACCGAACCUUCCUCACCGGACCCACCUCCAUCACUCAACCUUGAGCCCGUCACUGACCUUCCCACCACAAUUGACACAAACCCACCUGUCAUACACGAUUCUCCCACAAUACCUCCAUCCUCUGUACCGACCCAUUCCCCCCCAAUUUCCCUUCGCCACUCUACCCGUCAUACUCGGCCACCUGCUCACUUCAAGGAUUAUGUGGCUCAUCAUUCUGUCUUGCUUCCACCCACAUCAACCUCCCCACAAUCUAUGUCCAGCACUCGCCAUCCACUGCAUCGGUAUGUCUCCUAUUCUUGCUUAUCCCCUGGUUAUCGCCGUUUUGUUUCUAACAUCUCCCAAAUAGUGGAGCCUACUACAUAUGCACAGGCUUGCCAGAAUCCCAAAUGGGUUGCAGCGAUGCAGGCUGAACUCACAGCCUUAGAAGCCAACCACACUUGGAGCCUUGUUCCCCUUCCACCGGGACAACGUCCCAUUGGCUGCAAAUGGGUCUUCAAGCUUAAGUAUCAUUCUGAUGGGACUCUUGAACGCUACAAGGCGCGCCUCGUUGCAAAAGGGUUCACUCAACGUGAGGGAAUCGAUUACAAGGAGACAUUUGCGCCAGUGGCUAAACUCCUUACCGUGCGCUGCCUGUUGACUAUAGCAGCUGUCCGCCAUUGGUCGUUACACCAAAUGGACGUCCAAAACGCCUUUCUCCAUGGUGCCCUUCAGGAGGAGGUCUAUAUGAUGCCUCCACCAGGUUGUCAUCGACAGGGGGAUAACAUUGUGUGUCGACUCCAUAAGUCAUUGUAUGGGCUUAAACAGGCAUCCAGAAGUUGGUUUCAAGAGUUCUCCUCAGCAAUACAAACUAUCGGGUUCUGCCAAUCUAAAGCAGAUUACUCCUUAUUCACCCAAGUCAAAGGUACAUCACUCACUAUUAUAUUGCUUUAUGUUGACGACAUGGUAAUUACAGGUAACAAUGAGGCAGAAAUCAAGAACCUGAAAGUCUUCCUUAGCAGCAAAUUUCGAAUUAAAGACCUCGGACCUUUGAAAUAUUUCCUAGGAGUCGAGGUCGCCCGAUCGAAAGCUGGAAUUACAAUUUGCCAAAGAAAAUAUACAUUGGACAUAUUGGAGGAAGCUGGGUUACUAGGUGCUAAGCCAAUGAAGGUCCCAAUGGAGGCUGAUUUGGUGCUAACACCCACAGGUAGCAGUUCACUCCAUGAACCGGCGAAGUAUCGACGCUUAGUCGGGAAAUUGAUCUACUUGACAAUCACAAGACCAGAAAUAGCGUACACUGUCAAUACGCUAAGUCAAUUCAUGCAAGAUCCACAACGACACCAUCUUGAUGCAGCGUAUCGACUUCUCCGAUACCUUAAAGGAGCUUCGGGUCAAGGUUUGAUGUUUUCCUCACAAAAUAAUUUACAUUUAAUUGGUUACUGUGAUGCAGAUUGGGCUCGUUGCCCCACCACACGCCGAUCCGUGACUGGUUAUUGUAUUUUCCUUGGAAAUUCAUUGGUGUCAUGGAAGAGCAAGAAACAGGUUACAGUAUCUCGCUCAUCCGCAGAAGCGGAGUAUCGAUCCAUGGCCGCAGUUACUUGUGAGUUAAGUUGGUUACGAUAUUUGUUGAAAGAUUUGCAUGUUGAUCAUCCCCAACCAGCAAGGUUGUUUUGUGACAACCAAGCUGCCUUACACAUAGCCGCAAAUCCUGUAUACCACGAACGCACAAAACACAUUGAGAUUGAUUGCCACACUGUUCGUGAGAAGAUUCAAAAGGGAGAAAUCAAAACUUCACAUGUCAGGACAGGGGAACAAGUUGCAGACUUAUUUACUAAACCACUGCGUGCACCCAUCUUCCAUACACAUCUAAGCAAGUUGAGCGUUAUUGACAUCCACACUCCAACUUGAGGAGGAGUGUUAAAGGAAAGAUGAUUAUACGAUGUAAUUGAGAGUGAUCAUAGCUUCUAUAAUUGUCAAUCCUUUUAUUCUGUGUAAUUAUAGUAUGUAACCGUUAUUAGCUUAGCUGUAGGAUCUGCUGUUAAUAUCAGCUUGUUUAUAGGAAUUGCUUUCCUAUAAUAGCAUGUAGGUUCUGUAUAAAUCCUCACCUUGUAUACUGUUACAACACAUCAAUGAAAUAUACAUAUUCUCAAUUUAGGUACUGUGCUUUCCUACAUAUGCACAGGUUGAUGAUGAUACCAGUGGUGAAGAAACAUCUCUUUAGGUACUGUUUACAAUGAUUUAAAUUUAUCAUAUUUAGUUUUACAUUUUUAUCCAUUCUUCAAUUCCUCUUUUUUUUUCGCUUAAAUUCUUUUCCCCGAAAACAAAAUGCAAUUGUUAUUUGACAAAAACCUUGUGUUUUCAAGGGGCAGGUUCAAGUGGAACUCCAUCAGAUUUAACCAGAGCAAAAGAACAAGACAAGGCAUGUCGUGGGUGUCAUGAUAAAAUGCAGAGUUGACUAAUUCAUUCAGCAAUUUAAAUUUCUUUGAACUUAAAACAUCAUUAUUAAAUUCUAUGUUUGUCUAAUUUCUUCAGGCUUUCUUCAGAUCAGCUAGUCACUUACGAAGAUCAACUUAAGGCUCGGAGUGUCUGCUUUGUGUAAUUUCCUUGGCUAGUUGUGUGUGAUGAUUUGUCAUUAAUAAAUUGAUAAACAUUUGGUUGUUCUGAAUUAAUGGCUUGCCUCUUUAUCAUAUUUGAAAUAUUGUGUGUAAUCAUUUCAAUAAUUAUGCUUAACAUAUAAAUUCGUCCUUCUACACAAACUAAAAAGCUGAAGUUGGGAGGAGAAGGAGCAAGCUACUUGUUUCUAAUAAUACAACAGUCAUCACGAAUUUCCAUCUUACUGCAAUGUCUCAUUCAUGAGUUUCAAAGAUCUUAACGAAGAGACAUCCAUUUCCGCACCCUUCAAGAACAUCUACCCUUUCUUUAUAUCUGAAUAAUGCAUGGGAACAUGCUGUUGCUCUAAUUAAACUCUAAAUUAAAGGUCUGCAUGACUAGCUAUCAUGCCGAGUAGAUUUUCUAUUCCAAAAAGAAAAUCACAGAAACUUCCCUUAGAGGCAGAAGUUUGCUGCUGCUACCUGCAUAUUGCAGCAUCCUGAUAUAUAGGUGUAGAGCCUGAAAGCUGCACUAUAAAUGUAAUCUGGUUCAGUCAUCGAUCGAGAAUCAGACUCCUUCCCUAACAAAUUCAUCUCUCCAAUACACGCCUUCCUUCGCUCUUCUUGCACAAUCUCCACCGUCGGUAAAAACCUCCCCUCGCUCUUUCUCUAAGCUAAUUACCUAACCAUGUUUUAAUCAUUUUCACUUUUGCUGACAGCUUGCAUCAACCGUCGCGGAUUACAAAUUCUCUCUUCAUAACCCACUGGUAAACUCUGAUUCCUACUAACAGAAAUUACCGUAGUUUUGAAACCCGAUCCGGCCUAGCGGGUUAAUCUGAAGCUGAAAUUGGACCGGCUUUAAAAAAAAUAGGAAAAGUAAAAAUUCAGGGUGACCCGACAACCCGGUAAGACCCAGUCAAAAACCCGGUUGUAACCCGUUGACUUUUUUUUAAAUCAAAACAACAUCAUUUUAAUUUUUUUAAAAAAAUUAACCCGGACGACCUGGUGACCCGAUCAAAACCCGGAACCCAGGUAUUGGACCUGGCCGAGUUUAAAAACUAUGGAAAUUACUCAAGGUAAAUGAAGUUAAUUUUAUUAUUAUUAUUUUUAAUUUAUGUGUUAAUUUGUGAUUUAGUGAAUAAAUUAAAGUUUUGAUUUUGACUGAAUCUAAUUAAUUAAAUCGGCAAAGAGGGUAUUGAAAUUAUGUAGAAAAUGAAGGAUUUUAUGUGAAAGCUGGGCAAUUAUUUUUUAUUUGCUUGUGCACGUUUGUUUAUUUUCGAUUUCGAAGAAUUUAUGUCUGUUUCGUAGGCUAAUUUUUUGGGUUAGGUAUAAUGAAGGCAGUUCCUAGUAGUUUCAACGAUAUAAAAUAAGUUCUUGAAAGCAAUUUGGGUUGAUGUUUAACGGAGAUUUAUGUUUCGGUUCUGUAUUUUCUUUGUUUUUCUUUUCUGAGAUGUUGAAGGUGAAAAUUUGUUGUUGAAUUAUGGAUUUUUUUUUUUAUGUAAAUGACAGCUGCUGCGUCGAUUGCCCAAGGGCAUCUUGCGAUGUUGAAAGAUCGUCAAGCAGUAGCAGUCAAGGUUGGUUGGUGCGGUGUCAGUUUUAGUUAGUCAAUUUAUUAUUAUGGUCUGGGUUUUGUAAUAGCAACAAGAUGAUUUUUGUGAAUUAAAUUAGGAAGUUUAAGAGAGUUUUGAACUGUUGAUGAUGCAAUGCAUUUAGGCUAUCGAUCCUUUCAUAACUUGUUUCAAAUUUUGUGUAUUUACGUUUGUUGAAUCUUUGCUUACCUUCCAAUAUUAUAUAGCUGCAUGUGACUGAAUGCCGGGAUUCUUCCUCUCUGUCUUUCCUUCAUCUGUUUUUAUUUCCCUUCCGAAAAGUAAACUUUUUGCCAUACAGUUUUAUAUUAGAUAUGUUGGAUCUUGCUUCCAAAUCCUAAUCUGCAUAGAAGAAGCUCGAUAUUUCAGUGAUUUGAUUCUUCCAAUAAAGUCGAUGAUUGCAUUAGGAGAAUCUCUAUGAUGUUCUCUGAUGAAUGUGAAACAUCCCCUUCCCAUACCUUCUUUAUAUAUGUUCGAAAAUUUUCUUGUUUUCAGAACUUCAUGGAUGCUUGUGAUAGAUGUACUUGAAAGUAACAUGCUUAUUUUUUUCUGCAUGUAGGUGCAGCACUACCCUGGGUUAGAAAUCCAGAUGAAGAUCGACAUAGCCAUUAUGUCACUUAUCCCAAAAUCUGUUGCAUGAGUAAGUGAUAACAUUAUCUUAACAAUUUUAAUUAUUUCUCUAUUGCAUUCUGUUGGCACCAUCUUUUUGUGAAGUUAGUUUGUGGAUGGUAAAUCACAUGAUUAUGCACAGAAAGAAGAACUAAUGCUGAUAAAAUUGCAGUAUAUGUUCUAGCCCUCUGACGUAAAAACCCUACAAAGGGAUGUUCUUUUUAGGAUAUGAUAACAUUCAACAGGUUUUGAAGAAUACAUGCGUCUUCUUUUUCUCAUUGGACAACAAUUUAUUCUCCUGAUUGUUUUUGUGCAUAUCUCAUGUGUUCCCUUUCUAAUUAAAUUGCCUUCUUUUGAUUUUGAUGAGUGAUCCACUGGCUUAGAGUUACGUUUUGCUCUUUUUGUCUUUCCACAACUUUUCCCUGAUUACAGAUUUAACUGGCUGAUAACAGAAUUCAGAGAGACUAUUUCUUCAGAACUUGGUCUGUGUAUUCCUUUGGUUAUUUUAUGUGUUCUUGAUCUCCUUGAUAGAUACAUGAAGAACUCGUGUAACUUCUUCAUUGCAUGCAUUCUCCAUAUUUCAAUUACUAUUAUUUCUUCAAGUGAUCAGAUACAUUGGAGAAAUUGCCAGCAACAAAGUGCAGAAGCGCAUGCAUUGUGAUGGGGGUGGCCAUUGAAGUCUUCUAAAUGAUGUAGAAUGGUACAGGGACUGGUGGUCUGGAGUCGUGUCAUUUUCUUGAUUCUCCGGUGCCUGUUUGAGAAGUUGCUACAGUAUAACACCAUCUAAGCAAUUCCAUAAUUAACCAGGGAACUGAGGUUUUAUGAUUCCUGGGUGUAUAAAAUUCUUACCUGACUGGGUUCUAACGAUAACUCUUAAUUCUCUCAUCACCACGCACCUGUUACUUGAAUUCCAUGCGCGACAGCACAUCCUCACAAAUAAUCGUUUUCUUUUUGCUCAUUUGCGUCCUUACUAAUUGUGCUUUUUAACAUUCCACAGCCCAUAAUCCCAUUUCAAGAUACCCGUAAAAAGACCAGAAGUGAAACUUGCUAUUAAGGAAAUAUUUUAGGACUAGUUCGGCCAUGGCCGAAAAACUACUAGCCCAUAGCCUAUUAAAACUCUUAAAAGUCCAUGAAUCCAAUAUCCCAGCAAAACCUUGAAGAACUCUCACCGUUACCUUUUUUAUACGGUUAUGUUACGUAGUAAAAAUAAUCAAAUAAAUUAAGAAUGUACUUAAUUUGUUAAACAACAUUUUCCCUUUUCAGCAGCUUGAAAUUUGGGUGGAAUUAUGGUUCCUUGAGAAGAGUAGUAAAAUUAAUGCUAUAAAUGAUUCAGAAAUGGAAGGACCAUAUAGAACCGUGUUCAUAAGAACUGGACUGUCAUAGUAGCAAGCGAGCUAAGACCGGUCCUCAAUUCCUAUAUAUAUAGAACUUCAAAGCAGUAUCUGCCUUAUUUGGCCCAUUGCACAGAAACAAAUAAGGAUUAAAUCGCAGCUGUAAUGCACUCUUAAAAGAAAUUGAUUUGUAGGCAAUAAGUAACUCACUACAAUACGAAAAAAACAACUGUUUGGUCUUCGCAAAAGUUAGGAAGUGCACCCAUAUUCUGCGAACCCAUCCGCAAACUAUUUUGAGUAAAAAAAAAUAAAAAGAUGAUUUUUUAAAGUGCACUGGCAAAGUGUAUUUAGGAAUUAUGUGAUUGUUUUUUAAAGUGUUUUUUAUUUAAAAAUAUUUUAAAAAAAUUUAUUUUUAACAUCAAUGCAUUAAAAUAAUCUAAAAAUUUCAAAACAAAAGUAUUAAUUCAAACACAUAUCAGAAAAUAAGGCAGUUUUUUUUUUCUGAUGUAGGGUAUUUUUAAAAAAACAAUUGAAAAUAUAUUUAAAUAAUAUUUUUAAAUAUUGUUUUUCUUUAUAUUUUCCCAUUAAAAUAUUUAUAAAAUACUAAAAAUAUUAUUUUGAUUUUUUUUUCAAAAAAUACUCAAAAUUUUGGAAAAACUAGUUGCAUUACUCUUAUCAACCAGGCUUUUUAUAAUUAUUUUCUUUCUCCAAAUUUUAUAUUCAAAACGAGUUAACUCGGUUGAUUCAGGUUUUUUUAAAUAUGUUAAAAUAAUAUUUUUAAAUACCCUUUUUUGUUAUAUUUACCAUUACAAUAUUUAUAAAAUAUUAAAUAUAUUGUUUUGAAUUGUUUUUUAAAAAAUAUUCAAAAUUUUGGAAAAACACUGCUCAAUUAUACUCAUUUCAAAAAAAUGAUGUUUUUUUAACUGAGUUGAUUCAGGUUUUUUUACUUAUUUUCUAUGAAAUUAUCUUAAUCUCCUAACUCAAGUAGCAAGUUUAAGAAGUUAAUUUAGGUUUAAUAUUCAUAAAUCCUAUUUUAUUGACAAAAGGCGUGAAGUUUUCUUUAAAUUAAUUAAUUAAAGAAAACAUAUUUUCAUAGAAGCAUGCACCCAGCAUGUGGUGGUGUCCACAUAGGGAAUAACAAUGGUCAAAUCCAACGGUAAAUACUCCAUCACCUAAAUAAAAAAAAAGUCUCUCUCCCCAGACAACUAGCAUCCCAAUCCCCACGUAGCCAAUUCAUAAUUCACAGCGACAAAUGCGUUUCAAAUGAUGUUUUAUUAAAAUUUAUUUUUUUUAUUUAAAAUUAUUUUUUUAUAUUAUAGAUGGAUCAAAUGGAUAUACAGAUAUACAGAUAUCUGUACAUUUAUAAAAGCAUAAGAGCAUGUUUGGUAUUAUAUAUAAAAAAAACUUUUUAUAUAAAAAUAAUAUUUUUUUAUUUUUUAAAAUUUAUUUUUGAUUAACAUAUUAAAAUGAUCUAAACUCUCCCCAAGUUUCCAAACAACUUCCAUCAAGUGCGGUCAAUAGUCUUUGCAGAUAGUAUAGUGGGGCCUACAUGCAAAACAGACUUUGAGAAAUGUUUGUUAGAAUUUAAGCAUUUGCGGUCUUUGAAAUUAAUGGACGAUUCUGGAUUUGAGGCUUUUCCGGAGAGGAUUGGCGCCUUGAAACAUUUGAGAUAUCUCCAUUUUUUGAACAACGCAAAAAUAAAAAGACUCCCAAAAUCUAUUUUCAAAUUGCAAAACUUGCAAGCUCUGGUUACAGGUGAAGGAUUAGAAGAGCUGCCCAAAGAUGUGAGGUACAUGAUCAGCCUUAGAUUUUUAUAUCUAGUUACUAAGCAGAAGCAGUUGCCAGAAGAAGGGAUUGGGUGUUUGGAGUGUCUUCAAACUUUAUUCAUUGCUGAUUGUGAAAAUCUAGAAAAUUUGUGCGAAGAUAUGCAAGGUCUUACAAGUCUUCGAAAAUUGGUUAUUGCUGGGUGUCCUCGCUUGAUUUCUCUGCCGAGUAGCAGAGAAAAAAAUUCAACCUCUUUCUCUUUCUCUUUGUAUUGUAAUAUUUGAAGAGUUACCAACAACUCUUGCUUUACCGGAACAGCUUCUUCAAGGAUCUGCAGAAUCCUUACAAACAUUAAUCAUCAGAGAUUGUUCAAACAUUAGAGAAAUGCCAGAUUGCAUCGGCAAUUUAAAGAAACUUCAAAAUCUUGAGAUCAGUGAUUGUCCAAGUUUGAGCAAAAAGUGUCGAAGGGGAACAGGAGAAGAUUGGCCCAAGAUCAAACAUAUCCCUAAAAUCGAGGUUGACGGUGAUGACAAUGAUGAAGAGACAUCUCAUGCAGGUAGCAGCAGCAAACCAUAUUUAAAUUUAUCAUAUUUAGUUUUACAUUUUUAUCCAUUCUUCAAUUUCUUUUUUCGUUUAAAUUAUUUUCCCUGAAAACAAUAUUAGCUUUGAAAAAAAAAAACUGACAAAAGCUCUUGUGUUUUGGAGAGGCAGGUUCAAGUGGAACUCCAUAAGCAAGAGAAGAAGACAAGGUAUGUCAUGAUAAAAUGCAAAGUUGACUAAUUCAUUCAGCAAUUUAAAUUUCUUUGAACUUAAUACAUCAUUAUUAAAUUCUAUGUUUGUCUAAUUUCUUCAGGUUUACUAAUGUGAGGGUCCUGUCGGCCAAGAUCUUCUACGACAGUUGGUCUCUUGCAAAGAUCAGCUGAAGGCUCGGAGUGUCUGCUUUGUGUAAUUUCCUUGGCUAGCUGUCUGUGAUAAUUUGUCAUUAAUAAAUUGAUAAACAUUUGGUUGUUCUGAAUUAUUUAAAUAAUUAUGCUAAUUGUUUCUGAUAAUACAACAGUCAUCAAGAAUCUCAAACUUACUGCAAUGUCUCAUUCAUGAGCUUCAAAGAUCUUAACGAAGAGACCUCCAAUAACAUAUUAAAAGUUUAUAAAUUUUUACACUCUGUAUUUCAUUAAAUUUUGAAAUUUCUUUGCUUAAAAUUAUUUAUUUUUUUAUUUUUUUAAUAUGUAACUUUUAAAAAUAAUUUUUAAAAAAUAAAAAAAAUAUUUUAAUAUAUUUUUAAAUAAAAAGACCUAACACCAUCUAAAACCACCCCUUGAUCCUAACUAAUUUUUGAAAAACAAACCUUCUAGCUUCCUUUAACCAGUAAAACCGAACUUUUAACUCUGGACUGGAUUGUGUAUUCAUUGAUAGUGUAUAUGGAUUUCUUUUAUAUAUAUAAAUCAAGUAUUCAACAUAUUCAUCCAAAUAUAAUAAUAAAAUCAACGAAUGUACACUUUUUGAAGACAUUUUCCCUACUUCGACAGGCUCAAUGAGAUUAUCGUUUCUAACUCUGGAGUGGAUUGUGUAUUCACUGAUAGUGUAUAUAGAUUUUUUUUAUAUAUAUAAAUCAAGUAUUCAACAUGAAUGUGCACUUUUUGAAGACAUAUUCCCUUAUAAAAGAUACAAGAAAUUCAUUCACAUACAAAAUCAAAGAAAAAUAGCUUAGGUGGUCUCAUCAAACUAUUGAUGAAAGAUCUAUACUCACCAUCUAAAAAUUCAUUCACUACUACUAGGUUAUAAAUAGAUCUUCAAGAGAAAAGUAAAAGCUAAUAGAACCAUCCAAAAAUACAAAGUAAGAUUUAUUGUAAAGGUUUCAAACAACAAAAAGAAAAAAAAAUUAUUUUGCUACAUAUUUAUCUAUGUUAAUAAUAAAUUUUAUAUGUACAUUAAUAGUUAUUACAAUUAUUAACAAGUUAGAAAUACAUCAAAUUUAUAAAAAAAAUAAUUUUUUUAAAUAACGAUUUUGACGGAGAGGUAUUUAUAAAACAAACUAAGAGGUUUGUUGUUAAAAAAAAAAGAUUUUAAACUUAUUAAGUUAUCUAGUUUGAAACAAAUUUUUAAAUAAUAGCAUGAAAAGUUUCACAAUGUUAUAUUUAAAAAAAUAUAUAUUUUAAGAAUUUUAAAAAAUAUUUUUUAAAAAUUUCAAGAAAACAAGAAAAAAAAUUACAAUAAAUGGAGGUCGAAAUUCAUUAAAUAAUUAAAAAUUCAAAAGCUAAAGAUGAAAUCGAAAAAAUAUAUCAAUAUUCAAGGACUAUAUAUAAUGCAAUCAGGGAUGAAAUUGAGAAAAAAUAAAGAAAGAAUGGUUGAAAUUUGCCAAAAAUGAAACAAUUAAACUUGGGGGACCUUUAAAAAAAUGAAAUUUUCCUUCGCAUCAAAAUAUUGUCAUUUUAAAUAAAAAAAAAAUUAAAUGCAACGGAGUCAUUCUGAUGCUUCACUUCACUACUAUUUGAUCGCUUUCCCUUGAUCCAAAUCUUUUAAGCAAAUCAUGGCUGGGAAGGCACCGAAAUCCUUUGACAGUGUGUCGUUAACGGUACUGCUACGCCGAGUAUUGUGUGUGAUCUCCUAGAUUUUUUGGUGACAGGAGGUCGUCUAAAUCUGGGUAAUGUAAGCGACAAGUCGCUUGUUAUUUUUUUUUCAAAGCAUUAAAAGUCACUCGCCCUUUAAGAAGUUCUUUUUCUAAACAAGGACAGACAGAAGCGGUAGCCAGAAGGUGGGAUUGGGUGCUUGAAAUUUCUUCGAACUUUACUGAUCUAUGAGUGUGAAAAUCUACAAAAGAUGCUUUCUUUGUUGUUCCAUUUUUUCAAAAGAUUACUACUUUUAUGAUGUCGUUUGAAUUGCGUAUGUGUUGAUGUAAAAUAAAUUUUAAAAAACAAAAAUAUUAUUUUAAUAUAUUUUUAAAUAAAAAAACUUUUUUAAAAAAUAAUUUUAGAUGUCACAUGUACUCAUUCAAUCAAAGUCCAAAUGACAGCUUGCGUUAGGCGCGCGCGUUGAUCUCAAAAUAUUUCUUUUUAAAUGCAUUGAAUAAUAAUCUCUCAAAACCCCCAAUUUUCCAAACUAUUAAAAUAUUUGUCUGUCCUUGAUUUCAAUAUUUUAUUUUUUCAUUAAACUCUUACAAAUGUUUUAUAUUAUUUUAUAUUUAAUUUUUAUUAAAUAAAUAAAAAUAAUCAUAUUAAAUUUUAUAAUCAAUUGGUCAACAAGACUCUAAUAACAUAUUAAAAAAUUAUCUUAAUCUAAUAAUUUAAACUAUUAAAUAAAAUAAAUAUAAUUUAUAUUAUUCUCUGCUAAUAAUUAACUCACUAUGUCACGGAAAAAAACAAUUGUUUGCUCUAUUAGGUCUUUGCAAAAGGUAUAGGGUUACCCAUAUUCUACGAAGUACGAACCCAUCCACAAACCAUUUUGAGUGAAAAAAUAAAAAAAUGCAGGUCCAAGCCGAAGUAGUGCACCGGCUAAGCUCCUUUAAUGAAAUGGCUGCAUUUAGUGCACUGGUAAAAGCACAUCAAUUCCACCGAAAAGAAAUUUUAAAAUUAAAAUAAAUUUCAAUGGUCAAAGAUAAGGCCUAAGGCUCCAUGCCAAAGACAAUAAUUCAAACACAUAUCAGAAAAUAAGGCAGUCUUUUUUUAAAUAUAUUAAAAUAAUAUUUUUAAAUACUGUUUCUUCUUUAUAUUUGCCAUUAAAAUAUUUAUAAAAUACUAAAAAUAUUGUUUUUAAUUUUUUUUCAAAAAAUAUUCAAAAUUUUGAAAAAUCAUGGUUCAAUUGCACUCCUCGACAGGGCUUAAAAAAUUUAUGCUUCUACUAUACAGUCUCAUAAUUUGUUUAUUACUUUUUUUUUUUAAAGUUAAUUCAAGUUUUUUUUAAUUGAUAUUUAUUCUUGAAAAGGACAUUAAAAUGAUCUAUAUAAAAACAUAAAAAUAGUUUAAGUAAUGAAAAAAAUUAAAAAAUUCAAAUUUUUUUAAUAAUACUUUUAAAAUAUAAAAACAAAUAAUCUCUAGAGUUGAUAUCCUCGUGUGGUUGGCCCAAAUAUAUGAUAGUGGUAGAGAUUUUCAGAUAGAAUUUGGAGCUGUAUAUGGUAAAAGCACAUCAAUUCCACCAAAAAAAACUUUUAAAAUUAAAAUAAAUUUCAAUGGUCAAAGAUAAGGGUACAUGCCAAAGACAAUAAUUCAAACACAUAUAGGAAAAUAAGGUAGUUUUUUAAAAAUAUAUAUUAAAAUAAUAUUUUUAAAUACUGUUUUUUCUUUAUAUUUGCCAUUAAAAUAUUUAUAAAAUAGUAAAAAUAUUGUUUUGAAUUUGAUGAUCUGUAGGUAUUUCACUCUUGCCUUUUGUCGUCUUGUCCGUCUUUGACUCAGAAAGCACUUCUAUUACAGCAUUCUACAGAUGAAAGAUACAAUUGAAAACUAGAAUCUGGACUCCACACUCUUCAGGUUAGCAAAUUACAGACCUAAUUUUUAAAUAUUUUAAUCUAAAAGAUAAAAUUAACAAAAAUAAAAUUUAAAAAAUCAUAAUAAAAAUUCCAAAAAAAACAAUGGUCUGCUCUGUAUUUUUUAAUUUUUGUUACUUCAAAAAGUUUAAUAACAUAAUUUUUCACCAAAACUAUUCUUUUUAAUAAUAUGAAAAAAAAAAUUAUAAAAAGUCAAGUGCAAUUAAAAAAACCCAUCAAAUCAAUAAACUUGAAUAAUUUGGGUUAUUUCGACUAACCCAUAAAUCAUGUUAACAUGGUAGAAAGAUAAAAUUAAAAAAAAAUUAUAAAGUUAAACUCUCAACCAUUUUAAUAUUAUAAAAUAAAAUGAACUAAAAUAAUUUAAAAAAAUUAUAAAAAUAAAAAUAUAUAUAAAAACUAUAUAUAUAAAAAAAAAUAUUAUAGCAAUCCGUGAUUUUGUAAUAAAAUUACUGUGAUUUUUCUAAUUCAUCUGUACAUAUUUAAUCCAGAUAUGAUUAAAAUAGAAACUAACUCGAUUUUUUGGCGACAGCAGGUCGCCUGAGUAAAUCUGGGCAGUGCAUAUUUUUUUCAAAGCAUUAAGGGUCGUCCGCCACUUAAGAAUAUGGUCAAAUAUGGGUGACUGUGUACAUUUACUUGUAUAAAAGCAAAGGGACCCACGCAGGUCCCUGUGUUUCAUCAUGUAGGCUGAACCUGUCAACACUUUAGAUGGAGGAUGCCUGCUGAUUAGUCAAUGAAGUCAAUUUGGACGCGUGGAUACUUUACGGUGGGGUCUUGUUUUGUGAAACUUUCGGCUUGAGAAAUACUGGGAAUGUGGAUUUUGCAUUUUAGUGAUUCCUCGGUGUGAAAUGUGGAAACUGUGGGUGGGGCGGCCAUGAUAUUAACAUAUAUCCCUGUUUUCCAAGCCACAAUUUCAAUUGAUAUCAAAUAUAAUGUAUCAAAUAAGUUAAUAAUGUAUUUAAUUUAUUAUAUAUUAUUUUCCCUCCUCAACUUCACAAUUGGGUACAUAAAUUAAGAUUAAGUAGAUAACACGUAAGUAGGGUGGGAUUAUAGCUUCUUGGUCAACUACUCAAAAACAAUUAAGGAUUAAAUCGAUCGCUAAUAUUAUGAAGAAAAGAAAAGAAAGAGAACAACCCAUUAAACAAGCAAUCCAUGGAGGAUGGAGCCAUUGUACAUUUUAAUUAAGAAGACUCAACGACUUCUCCUCUCCACUCAGAAAAGAAAGCGGAACUCCACUCUUAUCUCAAUCAUUUUUUUCCCUAUCAAACACUUCCUCCCCUCACUCAAAAAGAAAAUGGCCGAAGCUUUUGCAGCCGAUAUUGCAAAAUCCCUUCUAGGGAAGUUAGGCUCUUUCGCUGUUCAAGAAUUUCGUUUGGCAUGGGGACUUGAAGAUGACCUUGCACGUCUUGAAGAGAUAUUGAAAGCCAUCAACGCGGUGCUGUCCGAUGCUGAGCAGAAACAAUCAAAGAAUAACGGGAUUCGGCUCUGGCUCCAUAUGCUCAGAGAAGUCUUGUAUGAUGCAGAGGACGUGCUGGACGAAAUCGAGUGCGAAACUUUGCAAAGGAAGGUGGUGAAAACUAAAGGGAGCACCAGCAGAAAGGUACUCCACUUCUUUACAAGAUCUCCAUUCCGUUUAAUAAUAGGUCAUAAGAUAAAGAAGAUCAUAGAAAGACUAGGUGAGAUUUCAGCUCUUAAGUCUGACUUCAACCUCAGCGAGCAGGCUAUUGAUUGUAGUCAUGUCUUGCAUGAGGAAACAGAGAUGAACCGAUCCUUUGAGAGCUUUUCCGGUCUUAUUGGAAGAGAUAAAGACAAAGAACGCAUCAUCAACCUUUUAGCAGCACCUUCUAAGGUUGGUGAUGCACAUCCCGUUGUCCUUCCGAUAGUAGGAAUGGGAGGCUUGGGGAAGACAUCUCUUGCCAAAUCGGUGUGUGAUGCUGAAAAUGUAAAAAGUCAUUUUGAACUGAAGAUGGAGGUCUGUGUUUCAGAUGAUUUUUCCUUGAAACAAGUGAUACAAAAGAUUAUUAAAUCUGCAACUGGGGAAAGAUGUGCGGAUUUGGAUGAGGGUGAACUUAAUAAAAAACUUGAAGAAAUUGUGAAUGGUAGGAAAUACUUGCUUCUUUUGGAUGAUGUUUGGAAUGAAGAUGCUCAAAAAUGGUUGUUGUUGAAGCCUUUGUUAUCAAAAGGUGCUGAUGGAAGUAAGAUUAUAGUAACUACCCGUAGUCAACGUGUUGCUGAGAUUAUGGGUACUGUUCCUGCGGACAACCUAAGUCUUCUUGGUCAAGAGGACUGUCUGUCGUUGUUUUACAAGUGUGCAUUCAAGGAAGGGCAAAAGGAGUUGUAUCCAAAUUUGGUUGGAAUUGGGAAAGAAAUAGUGGAAAAAUGCAAGCAAGUUCCUCUGGCAGUGAUUAACUUGGGGACUCAACUGUAUGGUAAGACUGAUGAAAAAGAGUGGCAAUCGGUGAGAGACAGUGAGAAGUGGGAAGAAGAGGGAGAUGGCAUUUUAC
RNAcentral lists this long non-coding RNA (25040 nucleotides) under Populus trichocarpa (black cottonwood). RNAcentral describes it as "long non-coding RNA (PTRI_LNC004440)". The record is from RNAcentral. Lineage: Eukaryota; Viridiplantae; Streptophyta; Magnoliopsida; Malpighiales; Salicaceae.